GCUAAUCUGAAUGGUUUAAAAUUGGGAAUUGAUUGGAAUUUCUUUAAGGCAUGUGAUUCUGAAAUCUUAGCUGUCUGCCAAAAAGAAUUUGGAGACUCGUUUGAACCUUGCAAUUGCUUCUCAAAUUACAGCCCUGGACUAUAUUAAG
Molecule: long non-coding RNA, 148 nt
Filed under: Naja naja (Indian cobra)
Lineage: Eukaryota; Metazoa; Chordata; Lepidosauria; Squamata; Elapidae
Description: lncRNA (ENSNNAG00000017892.1)
Source: RNAcentral